RNAcentral lists this microRNA precursor (97 nucleotides) under Bos taurus (domestic cattle). Its description in RNAcentral is "mir-544 microRNA precursor family". It matches the Rfam family "mir-544 microRNA precursor family". Lineage: Eukaryota; Metazoa; Chordata; Mammalia; Artiodactyla; Bovidae. The record is from Rfam by way of RNAcentral. RNAcentral also lists the same sequence under 3 other names.
AUCAUCUGGGAAUCAUGUUAAAAUGUAGGCUCUGCUUCAGUAGGUAGAGAUGGAGCCUGAGAGUCUACAUUUCUAACAAGCUCCCAGGUGCUGCUGA